This 432-nucleotide ribosomal RNA is filed under the name Galeopsis porcellanicus. RNAcentral describes it as "partial 16S ribosomal RNA". The stretch from base 79 to 264 matches the Rfam family "Archaeal large subunit ribosomal RNA", at positions 1800 to 2103 of the family's 2987-position model. The record is from RNAcentral. Lineage: Eukaryota; Metazoa; Bryozoa; Gymnolaemata; Cheilostomatida; Celleporidae.
UUUUACUAAAAAACUGAUAGCAUAAUUAUGAUAUUCUUCUCAAAAANNNAAUCCCAUUUUCCAGACAAAUAUUAGANNUAAAAAGGAACUCGGCAAAAUAGAGCAACGACUCGUUUAACAAAAACAUAGCUUCUUGAAUUCUUUUGAAGUGAUGUCUGCCCGGUGUAAAAAUAAACGGCCGCGCAAGUGCUAAGGUAGCGUAAUAAUUUGUCUUUUUAUUGGAGACUAGUAUGAAUGGCAUAACGAAGCUCAACUGUCUCUUUAUAUUUUACAAAAACUGAUAAACAAGUGAAAAAUCUUUUUUUCAUAUGAAGGACGAGAAGACCCUAUAGAGUUUUAGUAAAACCUGUAUUUAUACGGGAAUACUUUUAUUGGGGCAAUAAAAGAACAUUUUAAAAUCUUUNNNNNNNAACCCUCAAAGAGAACUAAAAA